UUCGAGGUUGUGGUCACACAC
This 21-nucleotide unclassified non-coding RNA is filed under the name Chlamydomonas reinhardtii. Its description in RNAcentral is "small RNA Cre_3817". Lineage: Eukaryota; Viridiplantae; Chlorophyta; Chlorophyceae; Chlamydomonadales; Chlamydomonadaceae. The record is from RNAcentral.